This 252-nucleotide ribosomal RNA is filed under the name uncultured bacterium. RNAcentral describes it as "partial 16S ribosomal RNA". It matches the Rfam family "Bacterial small subunit ribosomal RNA", at positions 524 to 776 of the family's 1533-position model. The record is from RNAcentral.
UACGUAGGAUGCGAGCGUUAUCCGGAUUUAUUGGGUUUAAAGGGUGCGUAGGCGGAUCGUUAAGUCAGUGGUCAAAUUGAGGGGCUCAACCCCUUCCCGCCAUUGAAACUGGCGAUCUUGAGUGGAAGAGAAGUAUGCGGAAUGCGUGGUGUAGCGGUGAAAUGCAUAGAUAUCACGCAGAACCCCGAUUGCGAAGGCAGCAUGCCGGCUUCCUGCUGACGCUGAAGCACGAAAGCGUGGGGAUCGAACAGG